CGACCACGGUAGGGUCAGCGACUGGGGUGAAGUCGUAACAAGGUAGCCGUAGGGGAACUGCGGCUGGAUCACCUCCUUUCUAAGGAAGAUCGACUUUUUAAGUGGUCUGGAUAGCUUAUCCAAAAAGUCUUCAACUUUUUGGGCAUCCAGACGAGCUUCGGCGCACUUCAAGUCCAUCUUAUUAGAACAUAGGUUGGAAGCCAGUCAGCUUCACAACCGACUUGCAGGCGUGCCGCUUUCGUUUCUCUUUCUUCAUUGGAUGAUCUUUUUAUCGCUCACGGGCCGUAUCGCAGCUGACGCUGCUGGCCCUGCGCGAGCGCGGCCCAUCAGGGCCGACGGACUAGCGUCCUGUAUUGGCGCCGACCGGUUGAGGUUGGCGAAAGUAUAAGGGCUUGUAGCUCAGUUGGUUAGAGCACACGCUUGAUAAGCGUGGGGUCGGAGGUUCAAGUCCUCCCAGGCCCACCAAGUUACUUGAUGAGGGGCCGUAGCUCAGCUGGGAGAGCACCUGCUUUGCAAGCAGGGGGUCGUCGGUUCGAUCCCGUCCGGCUCCACCAUCAAGUUUGGUGUCGAGUGGACGUUUAGAGAUUAUCCAAGAGAAAGAAACAAGUUUGCGGACUUUUACGAAAGUCUGCCUGUUCUGUAUGAAAUCGUGAAGAGAAGAUGUAAUCGGAUCAACUAUCCAGUUGAUGUCGCAAGAGCUUGCUCAAGCCUUGCAUUAUGAUUGAUGUGUUUAACCGCCGUCACCGAUUGUAUCUCGAGAAGCUGGUCUUUCUGCUGAUAACGUUGAACAGCAAUGUUUGAUGGAUAU
Molecule: unclassified non-coding RNA, 808 nt
Filed under: Brucella oryzae
Lineage: Bacteria; Pseudomonadati; Pseudomonadota; Alphaproteobacteria; Hyphomicrobiales; Brucellaceae
Description: Ochrobactrum oryzae partial contains 16S rRNA, ITS1, tRNA-Ile, tRNA-Ala and 23S rRNA
Rfam family: tRNA (bases 389-462)
Source: RNAcentral